This 71-nucleotide transfer RNA is filed under the name Lachnospiraceae bacterium. Its description in RNAcentral is "tRNA-Thr". It matches the Rfam family "tRNA". Rfam says of the family: Transfer RNA (tRNA) molecules are approximately 80 nucleotides in length. Their secondary structure includes four short double-helical elements and three loops (D, anti-codon, and T loops). Lineage: Bacteria; Bacillati; Bacillota; Clostridia; Lachnospirales; Lachnospiraceae. The record is from RNAcentral.
GCCGGAUUAGCUCAAUGGAAGAGUAUCGGCUUCGUAACCCGACGACAACUGUUCGACUCAGUUAUUCGGCA